AAUGAGACUUCCGCGCCAGCGGCCUGCCGGGAGGCAGGAUAUGGUCGCGCAGGCUGAAAGCUAGGCCUGUGGUGCCAUAU
Molecule: small RNA, 80 nt
Filed under: unclassified sequences
Description: dinG RNA
Rfam family: dinG RNA
Source: Rfam by way of RNAcentral